AGUGAACGCUGGCGGUAGGCCUAACACAUGCAAGUCGAACGGCAGCACAGUAAGAGCUUGCUCUUACGGGUGGCGAGUGGCGGACGGGUGAGGAAUACAUCGGAAUCUACUUUUUCGUGGGGGAUAACGUAGGGAAACUUACGCUAAUACCGCAUACGACCUACGGGUGAAAGCAGGGGAUCUUCGGACCUUGCGCGAUUGAAUGAGCCGAUGUCGGAUUAGCUAGUUGGCGGGGUAAAGGCCCACCAAGGCGACGAUCCGUAGCUGGUCUGAGAGGAUGAUCAGCCACACUGGAACUGAGACACGGUCCAGACUCCGACGGGAGGCAGCAGUGGGGAAUAUUGGACAAUGGGCGCAAGCCUGAUCCAGCCAUACCGCGUGGGUGAAGAAGGCCUUCGGGUUGUAAAGCCCUGUUGUUGGGAAAGAAAAGCAGCAGGUUAAUACCCCGCUGUUCUGACGGUACCCAAAGAAUAAGCACCGGCUAACUUCGUG
Molecule: ribosomal RNA, 492 nt
Filed under: uncultured bacterium
Lineage: Bacteria
Description: partial 16S ribosomal RNA
Rfam family: Bacterial small subunit ribosomal RNA
Source: RNAcentral